Molecule: long non-coding RNA, 629 nt
Organism: Prinia subflava (tawny-flanked prinia)
Lineage: Eukaryota; Metazoa; Chordata; Aves; Passeriformes; Cisticolidae
Exons: 12
Source: RefSeq, a predicted model, not a curated record
GGGGCACGCUGCCCUUUCCGGUCCCGCGGCGCUGAGGGUAGGGUGCGCCCAGCGCGGCCCCGCCGUUCAACAUGUAUCAUCUACGCUCUUCCUUGUGGCUUCAGCACAGAUCUGCUCCCAAAUGUGAAGACUUCAAGCUACUUCUUCCCAAGGAUUCAAAUCCUGCACUUCAGAGAAAUGUAGAAGGAACAUGACCUGGCACUUGGGAGAUUGCACUAUGAGCUGUUACAAGAGGAGCCCUCAUGCCUCUUGUGUGAGAAACUAUUCCACCUAUUAUUGAUGUUGUGAAGACAAGACCUUCCUAAUUAAAGGCUUCCAGCUGUUUCUCAUUGUGAGGUGUGAUGGAGCUGGGAGGUGAUGCACCUGCUGCUGCUGCCAGCAAAGGGUACAGCUUGCAUGGAGUUUAAGAAACAAGAUGGAUGUAUCUGAGGGAUGGACUGUGUGCUGUCUGCAGCCUCACAGGGUGAAGAGGCAACUCUGAAACUAGCAUAUGAAGAAUUAAGAAGGGGGAAGAUUGCUGAUAAAUGGGUUACACUUGCAUGAACAGCUGUAAAAAAGCCCGUGUGGUUUUACCUCACUGGUAAUAUUUGCCUGAUGCUGAUUGGAGCCAAUAAAAUCUGCAAACUCUA